UACAGAGGGUGCAAGCGUUGUUCGGAAUUACUGGGCGUAAAGGGCGCGUAGGCGGCUUCGCUAGUCGGGCGUGAAAUGCCUGGGCUUAACCCGGGAAUUGCGUUCGAUACUUCGAGGCUAGAGUGUGGGAGAGGUUGGUGGAAUUCCCAGUGUAGAGGUGAAAUUCGUAGAUAUUCGGAAGAACACCAGUGGCGAAGGCGACUCACUGGACACGUAUUGACGCUGAGGUGCGAAAGCUAGGGGAGCAAACAGG
RNAcentral lists this ribosomal RNA (253 nucleotides) under uncultured bacterium. RNAcentral describes it as "partial 16S ribosomal RNA". It matches the Rfam family "Bacterial small subunit ribosomal RNA", at positions 524 to 776 of the family's 1533-position model. The record is from RNAcentral.